GUUUUAGAGAUAAGCUGAACAAAGUUGUAGAAAACUGGACUAGAGAGGAGAAGAACUAUUGUCUGGAAGAGACGGAGAAGUCAUUCAAGUUCUCCGGGGCCAUCCUCCGAUUGAUAUUCUCUUGAUGCACAACUUUUUACGCUUUGUUUCCUUGUUAACUUGUACAUUGGAUGGUCGAAACCUGCAAAUUUCUGUGAAUAGUCGUGUUUCUUUUCGUGUUUAAUUCUGUGUAUGGUGUAUAAGAACUUGAUUAUAAUUCAAGUGUUACAUCAUUACUC
Long non-coding RNA from Capsicum annuum, 278 nucleotides. RefSeq lists it as uncharacterized. NCBI's taxonomy places the organism in Eukaryota, Viridiplantae, Streptophyta, Magnoliopsida, Solanales, Solanaceae. The transcript has 2 exons. The record is from RefSeq and is a predicted model, not a curated record.